This 439-nucleotide ribosomal RNA is filed under the name uncultured bacterium. RNAcentral describes it as "partial 16S ribosomal RNA". It matches the Rfam family "Bacterial small subunit ribosomal RNA", at positions 339 to 795 of the family's 1533-position model. The record is from RNAcentral.
CUACGGGAUGCACCAGUGGGGAAUAUUGCACAAUGGACGAAAGUCUGAUGCAGCAACGCCGCGUGGAGGAUGACACAUUUCGGUGCGUAAACUCCUUUUAUAUAGGAAGAUAAUGACGGUACUAUAUGAAUAAGCACCGGCUAACUCCGUGCCAGCAGCCGCGGUAAUACGGAGGGUGCAAGCGUUACUCGGAAUCACUGGGCGUAAAGAGCGUGUAGGCGGGUUAAUAAGUUGGAUGUGAAAUCCUAUGGCUCAACCAUAGAACUGCAUCCAAAACUGUUAACCUAGAGUAUGGGAGAGGUAGAUGGAAUUUCUGGUGUAGGGGUAAAAUCCGUAGAGAUCAGAAGGAAUACCGAUUGCGAAGGCGAUCUACUGGAACAUUACUGACGCUGAGACGCGAAAGCGUGGGGAGCAAACAGGAUUAGAUACCCGAGUAGUC